RNAcentral lists this unclassified non-coding RNA (166 nucleotides) under uncultured fungus. RNAcentral's name for it is "sequence contains ITS1". The record is from RNAcentral. Lineage: Eukaryota; Fungi.
CCGAAGUACAGGCCCCCUCAGGGGCUACACUUCCACCCUUUGUCUACUACUCUUCGUUGCUUUGGCGAGACGCCCUCGGCCACCGGCUCCGGCUGGUGAGUGCUCGCCAGAGGAAACCCAAACCCAACCCUUUUUAGUGUUGUCUGAGAACUAAGUUUAAUUAUUA